RNAcentral lists this ribosomal RNA (440 nucleotides) under uncultured bacterium. Its description in RNAcentral is "partial 16S ribosomal RNA". It matches the Rfam family "Bacterial small subunit ribosomal RNA", at positions 338 to 795 of the family's 1533-position model. The record is from RNAcentral.
CCUACGGGUGGCAGCAGUGGGGAAUAUUGCACAAUGGGGGAAACCCUGAUGCAGCGACGCCGCGUGAGUGAAGAAGUAUUUCGGUACGUAAAGCUCUAUCAGCAGGGAAGAAAAUGACGGUACCUGACUAAGAAGCCCCGGCUAACUACGUGCCAGCAGCCGCGGUAAUACGUAGGGGGCAAGCGUUAUCCGGAUUUACUGGGUGUAAAGGGAGCGUAGACGGCAGCGCAAGUCUGGAGUGAAAUCCCAUGGCUUAACCAUGGAACUGCUUUGGAAACUGUGCAGCUAGAGUGCAGGAGAGGUAAGCGGAAUUCCUAGUGUAGCGGUGAAAUGCGUAGAUAUUAGGAGGAAUACUCAUUGCGAAGGCGACCUGCUAGAACAUAACUGACGCUGAUGCGCGAAAGCGUGGGGAGCAAACAGGAUUAGAUACCCGAGUAGUC